UACGUAGGGCGCAAGCGUUUAUCCGGAAUUAUUGGGCGUAAAGAGCUCGUAGGCGGUUUGUCGCGUCUGCCGUGAAAGUCCGGGGGCUCAACUCCGGAUCUGCGGUGGGUACGGGCAGACUAGAGUGCGGUAGGGGGAGAUUGGAAUUCCUGGUGUAGCGGUGGAAUGCGCAGAUAUCAGGAGGAACACCGAUGGCGAAGGCAGAUCUCUGGGCCGUAACUGACGCUGAGGAGCGAAAGCAUGGGGGAGCGAACAGG
This 257-nucleotide ribosomal RNA is filed under the name uncultured bacterium. Its description in RNAcentral is "partial 16S ribosomal RNA". It matches the Rfam family "Bacterial small subunit ribosomal RNA", at positions 524 to 776 of the family's 1533-position model. The record is from RNAcentral.